Phascolarctos cinereus (koala) is the source of this 1858-nucleotide non-coding RNA. The record is from RefSeq and is a predicted model, not a curated record. Lineage: Eukaryota; Metazoa; Chordata; Mammalia; Diprotodontia; Phascolarctidae.
GCCGUUGCCCCGAACGUAACGGCCUACACCCUACCCCGCACUCUCUCACUCUCUCUCUCUCUCUCUCUCUCUCUCACUCUCUCCCUACCCCUCUCUCACACGCAGACAUACACACACGCCCUCCCGAGGAGAACGCGCAGGCGCCGCCUUCGCUCUGCCCCCUGGGAAUUAGAGUCUACCAGCUUGUGCGUCUGACCUCGGGAUAAUGAAGGCUUGGGCCGGGUCAGGACUACGAGUGCCGUGAGGCAGUGCGGCUCAGGGCCCCAGCGAAGGAAGAAGAGGAAGGGGAAAGUAAAGAACUAUAGAAUUGCGGGGGAAAAACAAGAUGGUUCGCUUUGCCUACCGGGAGUUGUAGUCUCGAGCCGCUCCCUGGCCCGCCUGAAGGCGCAACCUUGAGCCAGCGAGGGACCACAUUUCCUAGGUUGCCCUACGGUGGUACCUGUUGCACUUCCCCACCGCUUCGCAGGAUUGGGAGAAGGAAGGGUGCCGCUCACAACAUAAAGGUCAAGAGAGCUGAGUCAUCUGGGACCAGGGAAGGCGUGGGCUGCCAGGGGAAGGGGGGCAGCCCGGGCCACCACCUGCUCCUGGGAAGAGAAUCCGACUGACUACAAUCAGCCAGUCAGGCCUCUCUCUCCAGGUUCACUUGCAAUUCUGAUUUUUCUGAGAUCCUGUGACAGGCAGCCACGUUGGAUCACCAGAAGAAUAUUGCCUGCAAGAAGAGGCAGUUGCUAAAGCUUGCGCCACCACCCAGGUUAACAAUUCAGCUGCUGCUAGAAAAGAAUGACCAGAGACUACUGAGCCUAGUGACCAGGCUAGGUGGGAUGAUCCUUGCUGACCAAAGACAGAGUGUGUUGCUCCCACCAUUCAAGAGAAGCCAGUUGCUUUUAAUUGUAUCAUUCCUCAGGAGUUGUGUUUUCUUCUCUGCAAGUGAAAGGAAUUAACACAGAAAAAUAUCUGGUUUAAAUGGCAACUGGUUGAAUCCAGUCAGCAGGUGAUGGAAAUUGACAACCAACAGAGUCUGGAAAAAUGUCCAGAAUCCAUUGUGGAGGCAAGCACCCCAAGAACAUCCAAAACAGGUGCUGCUAUCUGCAACUACCUUCUAAGUCAGCGCAAGUACCUGUACUCAACAACCCUAAGUAAUUUCAAUCAAGACUUCUGAAAAGGGACCUCUUCUUGAAGAGAAUCUGGGACUCUUAGUCUUCUCUCCUGAAACUGGAAGUCAGGAUACCAAGAUGUCUCUUCUCCCUCAAGCUGUCAACAACCCUGGCAGUAAAUUAGUCUCCACCAACGAAUAAAGUUUUAUGCAAGCGUUAUACAUAUUAUUAUUCCACUUUUUGAUAUAUAGGAUGAUAGAUUUAGAGCUGUAAACUGAGUUUCAAAGAUGUUGAAUGACUUGCACAUGUGGUGAGUGGCAGAGCAGGGAUUUGAAAACAAGUCUAGAACAAUUUCCUCUGGACGAGGGUCCCAAAGCAAUGAAGGACCCAACUUUGGACCCACACAUAGCCAACACACAUAGACAUUUCACGUAAACUUCUGACUGCUUAUCACAGAAUUCUGGAAGCCAGGAUACUCAGAACCAAUAUAGAGGGAAACCUGAAAGAAAAACAGAUGAGUCACCAAGUCACAGAAGAGUCUCUGAAAGCUCCUUGGAGCUCUCGUCUCUUCACUCCCACACAUUCACAUGCUACAUAGUGAAUGUUGACACAAAUUGGUUGGUUUGACAUCUGUAUGCUAGUGGUAUAUAUUCCUCUCCAGGAUGCUCUCCUGAUUCUCCCAGACUUUUUCCAUGAGGCCCCUACACUGGGUGCCUCCAUCUUUUUCCCUCUCCCCCUUUUCCCCUACUGCUUUUCAGCUCCAC